This is a non-coding RNA of Schizosaccharomyces pombe (fission yeast), 497 nucleotides long. NCBI's taxonomy places the organism in Eukaryota, Fungi, Ascomycota, Schizosaccharomycetes, Schizosaccharomycetales, Schizosaccharomycetaceae. The record is from the annotation of a GenBank genome assembly.
CUUCAAAAUUAUUGUUGUUUGCACGAGCUUUAAUUAAACCAGAUACAGUUUUGUCACCAGUUUUAAUCGCCCGUGGGAUAUGAUCAACGUAUUGAGGUUUGAUAAGAGCCUUAAUGUUAUCUUCAACAACUUUGGUGAAAAAGUUUUGAAGUUCACUACCACGGAAGUAUUUGACAACUUCAGCCCAGUCAGGAGGAUUAUCAUAACGACCUAAAUUAGGCUUCAUUUUUCCGGAUAGGAUCUUUAACGCAGUAGACUUUCCAAUACCGUUAGUACCAACUAAGCCCAAAACUUGACCAGGACGAGGAGUAGGCAAACGAUGAAGCUUGAAAGAAUUAGCAGAGUAACGAUGGGUUACUUCACUUUCCAAGUUAGUGGGCAAAUUAAUAAUGUUGAUAGCUCCGAAUGGACAUUUUUUGACACAGAUACCACAACCAAUACAUAAUGUUUCACUAAUAAAUGCAAUGCGAUCGGUAGGAUUAACUUCAAUACACAAU